This 330-nucleotide long non-coding RNA is filed under the name Prunus persica (peach). Its description in RNAcentral is "long non-coding RNA (PPER_LNC004838)". The record is from RNAcentral. Lineage: Eukaryota; Viridiplantae; Streptophyta; Magnoliopsida; Rosales; Rosaceae.
CCAUCCAGAAUGUCACAUGUUCUUCACGUGACUUACUAUUAGAUUAUUUAUUAUUAUUAAAAACAAAACUAUUUAGAACAUUGAAAAAAACUCUCUCUCGCUGAAACCCAGAAAAUCUCUCAAACUUUAUUAUCCAUGAAAGUCGCCCAUACCCAUUAACAGUGACGAACCCAUAAAUCUUACCUCAUGGGGUCAUAGUGUAAAAGUUAUUUUUUUUUUUUUUAAAGAUUAAAAUAACAUUAGAAAUGAAACUGUAGUACGUACAUUCAUAAUUCGUAUGAAAAACAACAUUACAAGCUACAGUUAUCCACGACUAGGUUUCAUAUUUUG